This 435-nucleotide ribosomal RNA is filed under the name uncultured Oscillospiraceae bacterium. Its description in RNAcentral is "partial 16S ribosomal RNA". It matches the Rfam family "Bacterial small subunit ribosomal RNA", at positions 341 to 792 of the family's 1533-position model. Lineage: Bacteria; Bacillati; Bacillota; Clostridia; Eubacteriales; Oscillospiraceae. The record is from RNAcentral.
ACGGGGGCAGCAGUGGGGAAUAUUGGGCAAUGGGCGCAAGCCUGACCCAGCGACGCCGCGUGGGGGAAGAAGGUCUUCGGAUUGUAAACCUCUUUCAGCAGGGAAGACCAAGAGACGGUACCUGCAGAAGAAGUCACGGCUAACUACGUGCCAGCAGCCGCGGUAAUACGUAGGUGGCGAGCGUUAUCCGGAAUUACUGGGUGUAAAGGGUGUGUAGGCGGAGAAGCAAGUCAGGCGUGAAACUUAUGGGCUCAACCCAUAAACUGCGCUUGAAACUGUUUCCCUUGAGAGUGGGAGAGGUUAACGGAAUUCCUGGUGUAGUAGUGAAAUGCGUAGAUAUCAGGAGGAACACCGGUGGCGAAGGCGGUUAACUGGACCACAACUGACGCUGAGACACGAAAGCGUGGGGAGCAAACAGGAUUAGAUACCCUGGUA